RNAcentral lists this ribosomal RNA (458 nucleotides) under uncultured bacterium. Its description in RNAcentral is "partial 16S ribosomal RNA". It matches the Rfam family "Bacterial small subunit ribosomal RNA", at positions 338 to 795 of the family's 1533-position model. The record is from RNAcentral.
CCUACGGGUGGCAGCAGUGAGGAAUAUUGGUCAAUGGGCGAGAGCCUGAACCAGCCAAGUCGCGUGAGGGAGUACUGCCCUAUGGGUUGUAAACCUCUUUUGUCGGGGAGCAAAAGCCGGACGUGUCCGGCUGUGAGAGUACCCGAAGAAAAAGCAUCGGCUAACUCCGUGCCAGCAGCCGCGGUAAUACGGAGGAUGCGAGCGUUAGCCGGAUUUAUUGGGUUUAAAGGGUGCGCAGGCGGAUUUUUAAGUCAGCGGUAAAAUCGUGGGGCUCAACCCCAUCCAGCCGUUGAAACUGGGGAUCUAGAGUGUGCGAGAGGUAUGCGGAAUGCGUGGUGUAGCGGUGAAAUGCAUAGAUAUCACGCAGAACCCCGAUUGCGAAGGCAGCAUACCGGUGCACAACUGACGCUCAGGCACGAAAGCGUGGGUAUCGAACAGGAUUAGAUACCCCAGUAGUC